RNAcentral lists this unclassified non-coding RNA (183 nucleotides) under uncultured fungus. RNAcentral's name for it is "sequence contains ITS1, 5.8S rRNA gene". Lineage: Eukaryota; Fungi. The record is from RNAcentral.
CCGAGUGCGGGCCCUCUGGGUCCAACCUCCCAUCCGUGUCUCUUGUACCCUGUUGCUUCGGCGGGCCCGCCUUCACGGCCGCCGGGGGGCUCUCUUGCCCCCGGGCCCGCGCCCGCCGGAGACUCCAACAUUGAACACUGUCUGAAGGUUGCAGUCUGAGUUUUCAUAUAAGAAAAAUCGUUA